This is a non-coding RNA of Cucurbita pepo subsp. pepo (vegetable marrow), 2004 nucleotides long. The record is from RefSeq and is a predicted model, not a curated record. Lineage: Eukaryota; Viridiplantae; Streptophyta; Magnoliopsida; Cucurbitales; Cucurbitaceae.
GGUGUGUGUUCAGUUGAAGGAAACAUCCGAAUAGGAAAAGAAUCCAGUAAAUUACACUAGUAAAACUCAAAUCCAGUGGGCAGUGGAGAAAGUGAGAUUGGGCGCCAAAAAUUGGGAAAUCUUUUACCGCCUUGAUUUUAGCUUCCUUGGAAAGAUGCGGCUGUUUGUCCGACACCCUCCACUCCACCUCUUCCCAGUUGUUUUUAUUCUCAGUUUUUUCUCUUCUCAAUUAUUUCGUUUUACUUUUGUCUCAUACAAUUUUGUCUCUCUAACGGUGAAUACGCACAACACUACAUUGCGUGGGUAAAAAUUUAGGCUAAAAAUUUCCUAGUAUUCAGAAAAAAUUUAGGCUUUCUUUCUGCAAAUUCUCCUUUCCUUCGCUUCCUCUACCUCUUCCCUUCAUUGGUAUUGGUAUUGGUAUUGAUGCUUGUGUCCUCCGCAUCAACAGCACCUGAGAACUGUUUCCCUUCCUAUUGUUUUGUUGGUUGAGAUUCCGAAUAGUUUAAAGAAAGAGACCCAAGAAGUAAUGUCAGGUUUGUAUAAUCCCAACUUCUCUCCUGCAAGAGCUGCUUCUCCUCAGAUUAGAAGCAGCGCUGAUGCUGACAGCCACUACUUGUCGGAGCUGUUGGCCGAGCAUCACAAACUCGGACCCUUCAUGCAAAUCCUUCCUAUUUGUAGCCGACUUUUGAAUCAAGAGAUUUUGCGGGUUUCUGGAAUGAUGUCCAACCAAGGUUUUAGUGACUUGGAGAGAUUACGACAAAGAAGCCCCAGCCCAAUGCCUUCUUCUAACCUCGUCUCAAAUGUUUCUGGCGCAGGUUUUGGCGGCUGGAAUGGACUUCCUCAGGAGCAAAUGUUAAGUGGAAAUCCUGGAAUGACAAUGGACUGGCAAGGUGCUCCUGCAAGCCCUAGUUCAUUUACUGUAAAGAGGAUUUUGCAGUUGGAAAUUCCAGUGGACACGUACCCAAAUUUCAAUUUUGUUGGGCGGCUUCUUGGACCCAGAGGCAAUUCUCUGAAACGGGUGGAAGCUACUACAGGAUGUCGUGUGUAUAUUAGAGGAAAGGGGUCAAUUAAAGAUCCAGAGAAGGAAGAGCAACUCCGUGGAAGGCUUGGUUAUGAACACCUGAAUGAACCGCUGCAUGUCCUAAUUGAGGCUGAUUUACCGCCCAAUACCGUUGAUAUCAGGCUGAGACAGGCACAAGAAAUUAUAGAAGAACUACUCAAACCCGUGGACGAGCCAAAUGAUUAUAUCAAAAGACAACAGUUGCGUGAAUUAGCAAUGCUGAACUCAAAUUUGAGAGAAGAAAGUCCUGGCCCCAGCGGCAGUGUUUCUCCUUUCAACUCAAGCGGGAUGAAGCGGGCUAAAACUGGUCGCUGAGAGAUCACAUUCCUCUCCAUUACAUAUUCCCUCUCUAUUAUGCGAAUUGAUCACUCAAAGUGUACAAAAGGUGGGGAAGCCAAGUUUCAUGAGUUAAGCUCCCAACAAUCCAACGCCAUCCUUGGAACUGGAAACUGUGUGGUGCAAAUAGUUGGUUCCGUCGGAGACGAGUAGCUAAUAGUUGGUCAAAAUCACAUACGCUCUCAGGCAGCAGCUGCCGUGGAAUUUAUUGGGAUUGCAGAUUUCUUCUUUCUUCUUGGCAAUUAUAAAAACUGGGUUGAGUGACCAAUCAACCAAGAUACCCAUCCGACAGCAUUGCGUCUUUAUUCUUUAUCGAGUUCCGCGCCAGUGUCAGUCCACGCGAGAGAUGGAAUGGAAGACCCCAAUCAAUUCCUUUCACUAAACGCCCUUUGACUAAACUUUAGUACGCCGAUUAAUAAAAACUCGCCGUGUCCCCACACCCCCCAGUCAGUGCGUCGAACGAGGCGGAUGAAUGACCAUGUCGACCCAUUGAGAUAACAACGGAGGGGAAGCGAGAAUUGAAGUGUUUCCUACAAAGACCAGCAAACAAACAACAGGCCACUCAAUGCCACACUUGAGACAAAGCAGUGGGGGGAGGGUGAAAGACA